UAGUUGACCAGGGCAAAAUCUCCA
RNAcentral lists this non-coding RNA (24 nucleotides) under Arabidopsis thaliana (thale cress). The record is from RNAcentral. Lineage: Eukaryota; Viridiplantae; Streptophyta; Magnoliopsida; Brassicales; Brassicaceae.